CAGCGUACAAUGUGACCGGAUCAUUCACCAACCUAUAAAUUAUGUGCCAACAAUUGGUAGCUCUGUUGGUAGUUUCAAUAUGACUGAGACUCAAUUUCCACCAUUAUUGGCAUCACAACUUUCUCAGGUGCAAUCCCCAUUUGUGCAAUUUGCUAGACCACCUCGUGCGGAUUCCUCUCCUUAGACAGUAACGAUCUCGUAUGUGCCUAUGUCUAUUUAUAUGUGCACCUGAAAUACUAGUUAAUUUAUUGAUAUGAUUUCCUUUCUUGACAGGUUCCAAAUACUUUAGGUUCCAACUAAUCUAUUGUUUAGUUGCUUUGUGAACAGGGAGUUUGGUUCAUUAAGAAAUUUUAGAAAUAAAUCUCUGUUUGAACUGAGAACAUCCAGCUUUGUGA
Molecule: long non-coding RNA, 395 nt
Organism: Zingiber officinale
Lineage: Eukaryota; Viridiplantae; Streptophyta; Magnoliopsida; Zingiberales; Zingiberaceae
Exons: 3
Source: RefSeq, a predicted model, not a curated record